UUUCUUCUUUCUCUCGACAAUAUCCAAAAUGAGAGAAACACAAAAUCACACAAUAGCUCUCGCAUCGUCGUCUUCUUCUCCCGAUCGAUUCGAUCUCGCCUCGUCGUCGUCUUCUAAACCGAUCUCGCCUCGUCGUCUUCUAAAUCGAUUCGAUGCAAGUCUUCGAUUGGGUUUGUGAUUUGGUUUCUCGAUCGGGUUGUAUCGUUUGUGUUUGGGACGAACCGUCGAACAAAAUCGAGCGACGUUUGUGUUCGAUUGGGUUUGCGUUUGUGUUUCUCGAUCGGAUCUUACAACCGAUUGAAUCGGUGGUUUUGAUUGAUGUAUGUUGUGUUUUGUGUUGUGCAGGUGGGUUCGUAGUUUGUUGGGCAGUAUUAUAAAGUGUUGCAGCAGCAGCCAGAUCUUAUUCAUCAGUUUUAUUCUGAGUCCAGUAGAGCUAUUCGUAUCGUUAAUCUAGUUCACAAGUUUCAAUCUUUUUUACUUGAGUUCUGUGAGGUUUUAUGAGGUGAUUGACUUGGUGUUUAAGAUUAAGCAUAUGAGAAGAUAUGAGUUCACAAACUUCUUCAGCCCAGAAUAUAUGUGAAUCCCCCUGCUACCCCAGAUUGUCUACGAGCACUGGCUUGCAGGAUAGUGACAAAUUCAGGGCAUGCGACUACACUAACAGCCAGUGAUGCUGCUACUCCAACACUGAGGCGUAUUGAAAGAGCUUCCAUUGCAGCAGCAACGCCUAUCUGCAAAGAAGAAGCAGUUGACUUUCUCCCCUAGCUUUAGUUUGCAGUCACGAAAGCAAUAUUUCUCCCAUGACGCGCUCAACCUCAGUCUACACAGAGAAUAAAUAGUACAAAUAUUGAUGAUGAUGAGGCACUGAAGAGAGCACCAAUAUUGCCUCAUUGUGACAUCGACAAAGAAGCUCCAGAUUCUUGUUUGUUCCCUAGAUCCUCGAUCAUACUGCUAGGCGGCUCUCUUAUAUCACAUUGUUCUGAGUUUGUCAGCGGCUCAGGCUCAGGGCACCAGUGUUAACAAUCGUUGCUGUGGAGGAACUAUGGUCAAUGUCUGAAAUUAUACAAUGGUUUGAAUUGUUGAAACUGGUUUUGGUUUUUGAUUGUUGUGCAAUGAGAGGAUGUUUGAGAGUUAGAUGGAAAAUGGUUUUGGUUUGUUUGAUUGUUGUUUGUAAAACAAGUUCUCUGAUUUUUUUAAAAAAAAUUGACACCCAA
Long non-coding RNA from Camelina sativa (false flax), 1211 nucleotides. RefSeq lists it as uncharacterized. NCBI's taxonomy places the organism in Eukaryota, Viridiplantae, Streptophyta, Magnoliopsida, Brassicales, Brassicaceae. The record is from RefSeq and is a predicted model, not a curated record.